AAACGUCUCCAUCCAUCACGCCGGCCGGGUUUCCACUGCAGCGUUAUUGACAGUAAAUUAAAGAAGGCGGCUGACGGGUCGGAGGCAUCAAGAGGAAGCUCGGCCAUAGCAGGAGGAAGAGGAGGAUGGGAGAUGCCCGGGACGCCGAAGAAAAACACGACCAAGUCCAAUUUGCACGGGGAGGAAGUGAAAGGGCCGUCUCAAAGAAAUGGUGUGAGGAAGUUCAAAAGUAGAAAUCAAAACACUGAUAUGCCGGCGGCAUCACGGGGUGUCAGGACCAGGAUGCCAGACAGGACCAGACAGGUGAAGUGAAAACCUCCAGCAGCACAGAGUCUCUGAUUCUCAGCCUUGAAGUCUUCUCGGCCUAAAAGUAACGACGUCACCAGUUUCAUUAAAUGUCUCAGUAUUGCGGCGCUAUCGGCGCCGCUUUCUGAACCCAAUACUUUUGGGGUUAUUUAGGUUUUUAAGUUAGUGAGGGCUGCGUCCACACAAGCUACAUGUAGCACCUCGCUCUCUGAGCUGUAAGCGUGGCGGCUCGGCCAAAACACACAUGUAA
This is a long non-coding RNA of Pseudoliparis swirei, 556 nucleotides long. RefSeq lists it as uncharacterized. The transcript has 3 exons. Lineage: Eukaryota; Metazoa; Chordata; Actinopteri; Perciformes; Liparidae. The record is from RefSeq and is a predicted model, not a curated record.